This 429-nucleotide ribosomal RNA is filed under the name Actinomycetes bacterium. RNAcentral describes it as "Actinobacteria bacterium partial 16S ribosomal RNA". It matches the Rfam family "Bacterial small subunit ribosomal RNA", at positions 355 to 776 of the family's 1533-position model. Lineage: Bacteria; Bacillati; Actinomycetota; Actinomycetes. The record is from RNAcentral.
UAGGGAAUCUUCCGCAAUGGGCGAAAGCCUGACGGAGCAACGCCGCGUGAGUGAUGAAGGUCUUCGGAUCGUAAAACUCUGUUAUUAGGGAAGAACAAAUGUGUAAGUAACUAUGCACGUCUUGACGGUACCUAAUCAGAAAGCCACGGCUAACUACGUGCCAGCAGCCGCGGUAAUACGUAGGUGGCAAGCGUUAUCCGGAAUUAUUGGGCGUAAAGCGCUCGUAGGCGGUUUUUUAAGUCUGAUGUGAAAGCCCACGGCUUAACCGUGGAAGGUCAUUGGAAACUGGAAAACUUGAGUGCAGAAGAGGAAAGUGGAAUUCCAUGUGUAGCGGUGAAAUGCGCAAAGAUAUGGAGGAACACCAGUGGCGAAGGCGACUUUCUGGUCUGUAACUGACGCUGAUGUGCGAAAGCGGGGGGAUCAAACAGG